This 237-nucleotide ribosomal RNA is filed under the name uncultured bacterium. RNAcentral describes it as "partial 16S ribosomal RNA". It matches the Rfam family "Bacterial small subunit ribosomal RNA", at positions 118 to 347 of the family's 1533-position model. The record is from RNAcentral.
UGGAUAACCUGCCCUCGGCACCGGGAUAGCCCGAGGAAACUCGGAUUAAUACCGGAUAGCCCUUCCGACUCUCGAGUCGGUCCGAAAAGGUAGCUUCGGCCUCUGGCCGUAGGAUGGGUCCGCGGCGGAUUAGCUUGUUGGUGGGUAAUGGCCUACCAAGGCUCCGAUCCGUAGCUGGUCUGAGAGGACGAUCAGCCACACUGGACUGAGACACGGCCCAGACUCCUACGGGAGCAG